UUCAGCAGCCCUGGAAUCUGAAAUCCUUUAUUUAUCCAUCUAACAAGAAUAGCACAGACAGCAGCAGUUGGUUCUCCCCAACACUGUCUCCCAUGAGCCUAACCCAGCCCUGACCUCUCGGAACAGGCAGGAGUGCGGCUGGGACACUUAAGCUGGGACUCGGUGCUGAAUGAAGCAUUCGCCCAU
Molecule: small RNA, 186 nt
Filed under: Neogale vison (American mink)
Lineage: Eukaryota; Metazoa; Chordata; Mammalia; Carnivora; Mustelidae
Description: Neovison vison (American mink) TUC338 (ENSNVIG00000004515.1)
Source: RNAcentral